This 5403-nucleotide small RNA is filed under the name Rattus norvegicus (Norway rat). RNAcentral describes it as "uncharacterized LOC102549537". The record is from RNAcentral. Lineage: Eukaryota; Metazoa; Chordata; Mammalia; Rodentia; Muridae.
UCUCAUACACAUCCAGGAGUACACUUGCCCUAUUGCUCACUUCUUCCAUCCUUUUUUUCAGACAUUCUUAAUCUCAUCAGUCUAUGAUGUUGGUAUUACAAAGACAAUGUAAGUUUGGGGAGAGAUGUAUAGACAUGGUGGGCUCAUGCUACUACAUGAGAACUGUGUGCUUGCUUCUCACUGCCUCUUCUAUUCCCAAAUUUGCAGCUGGGAGUCCUUGUAGCUCUCCUAAAUUCUUUCUUUUAUAAGUGUAAUGUCAUGGAUCACCUCCCAAAAGUAAGAUGAUAAGCAGCAUUAUUCUUUAUUCAUUCAUCAGAGCCAGUGGCUCAGCUCUUCUCUGAUCCUUGACCUGUAAGGAACCUCUUAUAUUUGCUUUUCCAUUUUUAUCUCUGAUAUUCAUCCAGUGUACCAUGUUCAGUUCUCAAGGGAGAGUUCCUGUGAGACCAAAAAUGCAAAAAAAAAAAAUGUGUUCCUUGUACCUUGAUGGCAGCUUCUUCUGGAAUGUAAGGCAGGAAGUCCCAAGAUAAUGGAUUCUAGUUUUCCUGCAAGUGCUGUGCACUUCCCUGUCCCUAGGAAAUACGAAGUACAACUAAGAGAAUGUGCUUUCCUCUUAAAAUAGGAAAUUUCUCUCUGUGUCUCUAUUGGUCAUCACUGUCUCUUACUCAGAGGAACAAACCUCAUUUUGGUUGUUCCCUGCGUGGUUUCCAGAAGAUUUCUAGGUAUACAUAAUCAGGUAGACAAAAUUUGGGCCUGAAAACUCUACUUAGCAUAUUUGUGAUUGGAGUCCUGACUUGAGUAGAUUAGGGUAUGAGGGAUGAUGGAUAGAGACCUGAUCUCAAUCCUCUCAGUAAGGAUGACAAAUUUCACUAUAGCCUGACUCCUCGUUUACUGAGACACUGGUUUGACCUGCACUGACAUUUUGAACUUUGUCUUCCUUCUUCUCCAGGAUACCGGAUCCUUUAUGAGUUCUGUUUCAGUUACAGUGUUAUUGCUGUUAAGAGACACCAUGACCAAUUUAUUAUAUAAUGGGAGAAAUUUCAUCUCUGGUCCAAUCUAUCUGGAGUUCUGUUUUUGGGCAUCUCUUUCUUUAUGUUAGAUCCUCGACCUUUUUACUGUGCCUCCUGAUUUACUUCACUAAGGUCCAGGAUACAGUUUGUAUUACAAAAUUGUGCUGAUGCGGGAUUCAAUGAGAGUGUCACUAUGAAAUAUGUGAAAAGAAGGUAUGUAUUAUUAAGACAAAUUAUUCUGUAAUAGGUUUUAGAAGUCUGAAUAUGUGUGCUGUUCUACUUUAUGUAGGACCUCAGAACCUUUCUGUACAUCUGUGGCCUCCAAGCACUUGGCAGUCUAUUACUAAGCUCUGGGACCUUGUCCUCUUCCUGAAUGUGUAUUGAUGUUUCACUGGCUAAACUAAGGAUAGACAAAUGUUCUGUGCUUCUUUCCAUCAAAAAUUUUCUCCAUUUUUUUUCAGAUUUUCUCCAUCUUCUCCAUUUCUCAGAUUUCUGGUUUCCUCCCUUCUUUCCAUCUAUGCAACAUUUAGAACAUAACAUGCCCUCGAUCUCCUUUCUUUAUUCUUAUUCAUUUUGAUAAACGUGUCAUUUUUUUAUAAAGACUAAAUUUUCCUGUAGAUUCUCCAAUGGUAACAUGACAGAUUUGAUGUCAACCCUUCAGUUAAGUGAUUAAUUUUCUGCCAGGCUAACAAGCAAACAAUACCUGCAGAAUCUUCUUCCCUAGUCAUAGAGUGCAGGGCAUGUUAUAAGAUAGUUUCUACCUGCAGUGAUCUUAGAUUAUCAAUAAAAUGGAAAGGAGGGUAGCAUUUAUUUUAGCAAAUUAAUUAAGAAAUUUGUUUAACCACACUGACAAGAGUACAGGAUUAUCAAAAAUUCCAAUUCAUCUUCUUAUACAGGAAACAUAGCUGAAUGUAAUAGGAAGGGACCAAUACAAACUGUGACUCUCUAAUCAUUUAUUUCUCCUAUUAUACUCUACUUGCCAGAAUUCAACAACCUGGUAAUAAUCUGUCCAAACUGUGAUUCCAUAAAUGACUUACACAACUGAUCAGAUUAGAGACCUCACAUCCUACUUGUCUUAGGAAAUGUCCUCUCAGACAUGCCAGAAACAAUGUUGUGGAAUCUCUUAGACUCCUCAGUGCUAUCAAGAGACUAGGAUUAUACAUCACUGAUUGAAGACACUUCUGUAACACAAUGUUCUUUUCUACUACAUGUCCACACACACGUGGGAUUUUUGAUCUGUCUGGAAAUUUCCUGAUUAGCUUGAUUCUUAGUAAUUCUAUAGAUUUUGAAAUUAUGGCUAUCUGGAAUUUUUAUUUCUGUAUUUUUUCUAAUGGAUUUUUUGUUCAAACUAAAACAGUAUAUAAUAAUGCUUUUGAGAAGCCAUGCUACUAUCCUAUGUUACCCUGCAGAUUCAUAGCCCAUUUACUGUUUCAAGUGGAUGUCAAAGCAUUUAGAAUAAUGGAUAUGUUAUAUGUGUUUGUGUGUAUUUAAACAUAAAUACUAUAUACAUCUAAAUAUUUAAAAUAAUGAUAACCCUCUUUAAUUGUUCCACUUGUUAAAUCAUGGUCUGACCAUAUGUGUAACCUUGCACCUGCUUUCAACAUCAUACAUCUAAGAUUUCCUGCUUGCUCUACCUCAUCUUACCUAGCCUCAGCUUUUUAAAAUAAUCUUUGUUUUUACAUUGUGUACAAGAGGGUAUUGUCUGCAUGCUGCCCAUACACCAUAUAAAUGCAGUACCUUUGGAGGCAAUAAGCACAGUGAGAUUCCCUGGAACUAAGCUCACUCUAUUGUGAGGUUCCAUGUGAUCCUUGAGAGUUGAACUCUGGUCAUACACAAAACAAUAGUCUUCUUAACUGUUUAAUGAUCUCAUGAGUUCUUGUCUUCAUUUUUAAAAUUAAGCAAGUAGGGAACCAUGGAAAGGGGGUUGUCUUUAAAAAUUCUUAGGAACAUAUGGUGAGAGAAGAAAAUUGGCUUCGGCAAUUUGCCCUUUGACUUUCAUACAUGUAUUAAAUAAAUAAUCUACUUAAAAACAUUCUAAAUAAAUGAAAUAUAAGUAAAGUCAAAUAAUUACAGUACCAUUUACAUGCCGUAAAACUUAUUCUUUUUAGAUAUGCCGUUUUCUUUAAUAUAGCACAGAUUUACUGUCUCCUGACCACAGUUUUUAAUAUUUAGAAUAUCUGUAUCAUUUCCAGAAUUCCCUUUGUUGCUUUCAUGAUUAUGCCCUCAUAUCAGACUCUGAUAAACAUUGCUUUCCCAUUAUUCCAUGUUCUUGCAUUGAUAAAAAAAAUCUGUCUCCUCUUUUUUUUUCAUUUUCUUUUUUAUUAUCUCUUCCUUUUAUUUCUUUUCCUUUUUGAGGCUAAGAGUAAACACAAUGUGCACAGCUUGCUUGGGAAACACUCUAUUACAGAGCUAAGUUCAAAAGCUAAGUGAAUGAACUUUGGUUGUUUAUUAUUGAUAUUGAGGUAGCUUGUACAAGCUGUUAAUAGCUAAGUUUCCAGCAUCUAUGCUAUUUCAAUUAGGCCAGACCUGUUUACAUUUUUAUGUGUUGCUACAUAUAAGUGGGUUUUUAUUUACAGCUCAAUAAUAUUUUAUCGUUAGAACAAAAUUUAAGCAUUUGUUAUUUGAUGUGUAUUUGGGUGAUGUCUUAGUUAGGCUUUCUAUUGCUGUGAAUCUUACAGUUCCAGGUAAUGGUUCAUUUCUGAGGAAAUCAGUUCAGAAACUGAAGCAGGACAGGAAUCUGGGGGCAUCAACUAAAGUAGAAGCCAGAACAAUGUUUUCUGGACAUUGGUUCCAUGGCUUGCUUCAUUUGCUUUUUUUUUUCUGUUAUCACCAUGACCACCAGCCUGGGUUGGUCAAUGGCCAUGCUUGGCUAGGUCCUCUCACAUUAACCAUUAGUCAACAAAAUCAACACACAAAUAUGGUGAAGAUGUUUUUCCAAUUAAGAAUCCCUCUUCUCAAAUGAAUCAGAUUAUAUGCAAUUGACAAAACAUUAAACAGAGCACAUGUUUUAAAACGUUCUGCAACAUUCAAACAGUUCUGGGUACAAUUUAUUUCAGAACUUAAUGGUGUUGUAAUUUAUUUUUUGACUUCCUGUUCUGAAAAUGUGAUUCACAUUCAAUAAAAGUAUAUGCUAGUUACUCUUAUCAUUUCCAUAAUCAAACACUUCUCAAACACAAUUUAGGGAAAGAAGAGUUGAUUUGGAAUUGUUUUUGGGAUACAGUCAACCAUAGUAGGAAGGCGUGGUGACAGGUGUGUGAAGAAACCGGUCAUGUUAUAUUUACAGCCAGGAAUCAGAGAGAGAUGAAUGCAGGUGUUUUGUCUGCAUCUUUCAUCCCUUUUCUAUUUAGACCAAGACUCCAGCUCAUGGAUUGUCUCACGAAUAUUUUGAGUGGAUCUCCUCAGUUAACCUGGAAAACCCUAUGACAAGAAGUUUUAUGCUUGGGAUGCUGAAUAGCUGUGGUGGGCCCUGCUCCCAUUCAGCUGCACUAUCUCAUGUGCUUUACUGUACAGCAAAUGGCCUUUGUGUUCCAUAAUUUCCACAGUCGUUGAUGGAUGUAGUUCAGGCCCUACUAUGUAGUGUUCAGCUAUGGCAAUUGUCAGGCUACAUGCAUAAAUGUGGUAUAUUCUCCAUCCAAAAAUUAAGACAUAUCUACAGGACUUUCUGGAACAUGUUUCCAGUUCUCUAAGAGGAUUAUUGAUGCAUGUCUAAUAAACAUGGGAUUAACUUCAUAGGAAACUUUCAGAGACGUCUCCAGAGGAUGGAAUAAGUCAAUGAUUUUGUAGGUAGCAUCAGAAUUACUUAUUGACACGGUUAAUAGCAUAUAAAUAUCCUUUAAUUCCUCAAAAGUAUUCACUUUUAAAUCACAUCAUUGUGUUUGACACAUUUGAAUGAAUUUGUAUGUAGGAUUUGAAGGGUGAGUCAGUAAUCUUUUCUUUAUUAAAUAUUCACCUAUGAAUAUCCAGUUCUUUUUCUACUGAAAAUGUUUGAGACACCAUCCUUAAUUUAAAAUUAUCUUGGUGCCAUUAGAAUUAUGUAAUGACCACAGUCAAGUAGGUGUAUUUCAGAGAUGUCCCUUUAUUCAUUGACUACAUGAACUAAUGACUACAGGUAUUUAGAAAUCCUGAAAUCAAACAAUGUGUCUCACCUAACUUUAUUCCUCCUUAAAAUUAAGUUGUUGUUAGAACAAGUCACUGCAAACAUUAUUAUAUUAUGAGUUACAAAGAUUGCUUAGUGGUUAAGGUCAUUUAAUAUUCUAGUAAAGAACCUAAUAUAGUACACAACAUCCACCUCAGGGUAAUCACAACCAGUUAUAACUAGGGAUCAAGGGUAUUUGUAGUUAAGUACCACUUUAGGGUUCAGAAGACACCAAAAUGUGCCUAUUACAAAUAGAAACAA